GACGCACGUUUGCCUUAUGUGAAUACCCUGUGGGAGCGACCUUAAAUCUCCCCUUUUAGUCGGCCCUCUUUGGCCGGCGACGCUAUCAUUCUGUGUACUGGAAGCAUCCUCUAGAGGUACAACCAGCAGCUCCUCAUGGAGUUCACAGGUCAAACGAUGGCGGCCACUUAGCGCGGUUUAGAUAUGAUCGGCCCCAUCCAUUAGCGGAUGGCGAAUGUUUUUGCGGAACCUGCGGAAGGAUCAUU
RNAcentral lists this ribosomal RNA (245 nucleotides) under Lecidea pullata. RNAcentral describes it as "partial 18S ribosomal RNA". The record is from RNAcentral. Lineage: Eukaryota; Fungi; Ascomycota; Lecanoromycetes; Lecideales; Lecideaceae.